CGCCUCUCGCGGAACAUGACGCUCGAACAGGGGAAAAAAAAAUUCCCUAGCUGGCAGUGGCAAAUACCAGUAAAGGAUCUCUGGUGUAUAUAUAUAUACCAGACCUCGCAUUACAGCCAGCAGGGAGUAACGGCUGUCCCCCUACUCACAGCUGCACAGGGUCUGAGCUGCAGUGGCACAACCCUAGCACCCAGGGCUUUAAGCCUGGUCCAACAAAUGAGAUUGUGGUGUUGUCAGCUAGGCCAAAGAGAGAAGAUUGGCUGAAGUGAUCAGACUAAAGAUGAACCUCUAAUUGAACUGAAUGUCCAUACACAGACACACACAACAUCCCUGUAGAGCUACACAACACUGAAGUAGAAUUUGACUUGAAAAGCAUUAAUUUAUAAAAUAGUAAAAAAGGAUACUGAUUAAAUAUUGAUCUGUUUCUCACCCACAUCUAUCAUUUAGCUUCUGAUGAUAAAGAUUUAACCACUUGGGUAUUAUUAAUUAUUUAAUGCUACCUUUAUGUACAUUUUGGAGCUUCAAAAUGUUGGUCACCAUUAACUUGUAUUGUAAGGACCACAGAGCUGAAAUAUUCUUCUAUAGAUCUUUGUUUGAGUUCAGCAGAAGAAAGAAAGUCAUACACAUAUGCGAUGGCAUGAGGGUGAGUAAAUAACGAGAUCAAUUUUAUUUUUGUGAACAAUACUUUUAAGUAAUUGUACCUCAUCACACAUUAUACAUUUCUAGGGAAAGUUCACCUAAAAAUGAUCAUUCUGUCAUCGUUUACUCAACCUCAUGCUAUUCCAUCAAAACUUACUUGACUUUGUUUCUUCUGUGACACACAAAAGGAGAUGUUUUGGAGAAUGUUAAGGAGUGACUGUUAACCUCAGUCACCUUUCACUAUCAUUGUAUGGAAAAAAGAUGCAACCAAAGUCAAUGGUGACUUAGGCUAAUAUUUUGUCUAGCAUCACAUUAUGAUGACUGAACAUGUUUCUGGUACAUAUAUGUAAUGUUAAUAAACGUGUGAAGCUAGUGAUGUGUAUCUGACCAAAUGUAUUUGCUGUAAGAACAUGUGCAUGUUUGUAUUAGCAGUUUUGUUUAAAUGCGUUCUGAAAUGUUUUAAGUGCAGUUUUGGUUUCUAUGAUAACGGAAUA
Molecule: long non-coding RNA, 1133 nt
Organism: Xyrauchen texanus (razorback sucker)
Lineage: Eukaryota; Metazoa; Chordata; Actinopteri; Cypriniformes; Catostomidae
Exons: 4
Source: RefSeq, a predicted model, not a curated record